RNAcentral lists this non-coding RNA (24 nucleotides) under Arabidopsis thaliana (thale cress). The record is from RNAcentral. Lineage: Eukaryota; Viridiplantae; Streptophyta; Magnoliopsida; Brassicales; Brassicaceae.
AGGCUACAUCUUGGUUGUCGGCAC